RNAcentral lists this ribosomal RNA (442 nucleotides) under uncultured prokaryote. RNAcentral's name for it is "bacterial SSU rRNA". It matches the Rfam family "Bacterial small subunit ribosomal RNA", at positions 355 to 796 of the family's 1533-position model. The record is from RNAcentral.
UGAGGAAUCUUGGGCAAUGGGGGAAACCCUGACCCAGCCACGCCGCGUGGAGGAAGACACCCCUAUGGGGCGUAAACUCCUUUUAUGUGAGAAGAAGGUCCCGUUCGUCGGGAUUUGACGGUAUCACACGACUAAGCCCCGGCUAACUCCGUGCCAGCAGCCGCCGUAAUGCGGAGGGUGCAAGCGUUGUCCGGAAUUAUUGGGUGUAAAGGGUGUGUAGGCGGACUUGUAAGUCAGAGGUGAAAGCCCACGGCUCAACCGUGGAAUUGCCUUUGAUACUGCAGGUCUUGAGUCCUGGAUAGGUCGCUGGAAUUCGUGGUGUAGCGGUGAAAUGCGUAGAUAUCACGAGGAACACCAGAGGUGUAGACGGGUAACUGGACAGGAACUGACGCUGAGGCACGAAAGCGUGGGGAGCAAACAGGAUUAGAUACCCGCGUAGUCC